UUUCAAUUCUCUCUUGAUUUGUAAGGUUAUGUUAUUCUUUCUUCGGUUAAUCCUGGGUUAAUCAGCUGUCUCUGCUUCCUUCGUCGAUGUGGUUAUCUCUUGAUGUCCAAACUUACGAUGAUUCCUUGAAUUCAAUGUUUAUGAUAUCUUGAUCUUGAAUAAAGGUAUGAUGACCAUAACAAGUUGUAUCUUCGGUGAAAAUUUUAAUGUUUUUCUGUUAUAUAAAGCUCUUUACCUUGACAUACCUGAUUGAAAUAAAGUAAGUAGAAACUAUGGAAUUUUGAAUCUCAGAAAUUAUAAUUCCUCACAGAAAAAACUGAAAAAAUAAGAAUAUCAUCUAUGUAAUGUAUACAAAAUUGAUCAAAUUUGUCUAGUAUACUAUUCAGAGCUUUAACUAAACUAGAACAAGCUGAUUGGAGUCCAAAUGGU
This is a long non-coding RNA of Coccinella septempunctata (seven-spotted ladybird), 429 nucleotides long. RefSeq lists it as uncharacterized. The transcript has 3 exons. Lineage: Eukaryota; Metazoa; Arthropoda; Insecta; Coleoptera; Coccinellidae. The record is from RefSeq and is a predicted model, not a curated record.